GGGAAGAGGAGUUUAAACGCAGUUAAACCCUAGACUCACUAAUGGAGGGUUUUACUGCCAUCUAUUUCAGGCACAUGGUGAGAAAACGGAGAAUCCUGCGACACCCAGUGUUUAGCAACCAGAGUCAUUUCACUUUAACAGCAACGUUUCAAGUCUAAGUUUAUGACAGUGAGCAAAAACCACACGUCAGUCUUUAUAGAGCCAGCGUCAGUUUAUUUUUAACGCUCAAGGUGUGUUUUUAAGGUAGGACUUUGCCACAUUUUUGUCUUAAAUCUGGAGGAGAGGCCCAUAUUAAACAAGAACACUUUGCUUUCCUGCUCAGACCAAAGCUACACGUCAUCAGUUCUGGACAGAAGUUUGAAUGUCAUUUAUUUUGGGCUUCCUGGUGAUUUAUGUGAACCUUUCUGUAUAAGUAAAGCACAUAUUGUUGCAAAACCUUUUGCUCAUUGCUGACAGGAGCCUAAUUUCCCUCCACAGCAUUCAGUGUCUGGUUUGCAGAACAUAAAGUGGCCUGGGGAUUAAGCAGCGAGAAUAGCAGCUGUCCUGUUUACAAAAACAUCAUAAAAAAGAAGAGGAGCCAUUGUUGGUCACGACUUGACACGCUGCUUCAUUAUUAAUGCUACUGAGUUCUGGAUGCAAUAAUCGCCACAAAUUGAACAGGAACCUUAACAGUUUUCCAUUAUCAACACAAGUCUGAUGAUUUCCAGAGUUCUUAUUUUCCAGCACAGUUUUCAUCCUGAUAAGCAGGACACAGUGUCUCCUGCUCCGCCCCAACCAAACCUGCGCCUUCAUCUCCAACAGUUUUCCGUUCUGUCAAACUUCUCAUGAUCAACAAUGUGACGCCUGCUGCAAAGUUGAAAACCUCUGACCUCUGAAGUGUUUCUAAAUUCCAACGCUGUCACGAAUAACUCAGAUAAGGCCCUCGUCACCACCCCCCACGUCUCCUCGACUUUAACCUCGACCCUUCCUACCAGGUGAAAUCGGCUCGUUAUCUCAGCUGUACGUGAUGUUAUUUCUAAUCAUCUGUGCUAAAGUUGAACGUUCUCCUUCUUCAUUCCCCAGGUUUUCCUUUCUUUAGGGGACCUUCUGUUUUUAUAGGUGCACGUUAAAAGGAAGUCAACCUCCAAGGAGGGAAAUGGAGUAAAUUUAACUCAAGGAAAUCUAAAAGGAGAACUGGUAAAAACAGAGGAAGCGGUUCCUGUCGUGCAACAUCAUCCAAGAAUUGGCGCGAGUUUACGUUCACGAGGGGGUCGACCUUGCUGCAUUCAAAAAAUGUGACUCAUCUGUUAGGAGCCGUUACAGUGAGAGAGGUGCUGCGGGGAUGUUUUCCAGCUUCCAGGCAAAAGUAGUGACAGGCUGAGAGAGCUCUUUGUCAUGAGGUGCCAUGUUGAACUUCCAGUAACCAGGAUGAGAGAGUAUGAGAGCAAUGACAAUCAAAUCUAUGGGACUGAAUUAUCUCCCAUUCCGGCGCUACGUUUACUGGCGGUGAGGACGGG
Long non-coding RNA from Girardinichthys multiradiatus, 1496 nucleotides. RefSeq lists it as uncharacterized. NCBI's taxonomy places the organism in Eukaryota, Metazoa, Chordata, Actinopteri, Cyprinodontiformes, Goodeidae. The record is from RefSeq and is a predicted model, not a curated record. The transcript has 3 exons.